GUUACUUGAUUGUCGUGGGGGAACAGAGGCAGAGUGUUCCAGGGCCCCAAUCAAUGCCAUCCUGACUUCAUGCGUAGAGCAGGAGGCCCUGAUUCUUAUCAGUGUAGGAACAUGGAGGAGGAACAGCUGGCCUUGUAAGUGAUCACAGAGUGAAACCAGCCUAGUCUGUUGCAUUGUUCCUUUUUUUCCCAAAGGAAAUAUAAGGGAAACCAAGGGGAAUUUUUGCUCAUGGUUUCCAAGGCAAAGGUCAUCGUUAAUGGUUGGCUGUUUCCAGCGUGCUUGGGUUUCUGCUUAAGUGAGAGCUUUUUCAUGGUGAAAGGCGCAGCCCUCUUCUUACAACAGGGAAGCAGCCCUCAAGGCCAGCGGAGUCUUCAGCACCCCCACAAGCAUGCAGGCGGUGCGCCUGGAGAGCGCCUGGGCGGACCGGGUCCGGUACAUGGUGGUGGUGUACAGCAGCGGGCGCCAGGACACCGAGGAGAAUAUCUUGCUGGGAGUGGACUUUUCCAGUAAGGAAAGUAAAAGCUGCACCAUUGGGAUGGUUCUCCGACUGUGGAGCGACACGAAAAUCCACCUUGAUGGAGAUGGGU
Molecule: small RNA, 587 nt
Filed under: Pan troglodytes (chimpanzee)
Lineage: Eukaryota; Metazoa; Chordata; Mammalia; Primates; Hominidae
Description: processed transcript
Source: RNAcentral